Molecule: ribosomal RNA, 407 nt
Filed under: Verrucomicrobiota bacterium
Lineage: Bacteria; Pseudomonadati; Verrucomicrobiota
Description: Verrucomicrobia bacterium partial 16S ribosomal RNA
Rfam family: Bacterial small subunit ribosomal RNA
Source: RNAcentral
UGGGGAAUAUUGGACAAUGGAGGGAACUCUGAUCCAGCAAUUCUGUGUGUGUGAAGAAGGUUUUAGGACUGUAAAACACUUUUAGUAGGGAAGAAAAAAAUGACGGUACCUACAGAAGAAGCAACGGCUAAAUACGUGCCAGCAGCCGCGGUAAUACGUAUGUUGCGAGCGUUAUCCGGAAUUAUUGGGCUUAAAGGGCAUCUAGGCGGUAAGACAAGUUGAAGGUGAAAACCUGUGGCUCAACCAUAGGCUUGCCUACAAAACUGUUGAACUAGAGUACUGGAAAGGUGGGUGGAACUACACGAGUAGAGGUGAAAUUCGUGGAUAUGUGUAGGAAUGCCGAUGAUGAAGAGAACUCACUGGACAGAAACUGACGCUGAAGUGCGAAAGCUAGGGGGGCAAACAGG